GACGAACUGUCCAAACGUUGUUCGGAAUCACUGGGCUUAAAGGGUGCGUAGGCGGUCUGGUAAGUCGGGGGUGAAAUCCUGCAGCUCAACUGCAGAAGUGCCUUCGAUACUGCCAGUCUGGAGGGAGAUAGGGGUGUGCGGAACUUCCAGUGGAGCGGUGGAAUGCGUUGAUAUUGGAAGGAACGCCGGAGGCGAAAGCGGCGCACUGGAUCUCUUCUGACGCUGAGGCACGAAAGCUAGGGGAGCAAACGGG
RNAcentral lists this ribosomal RNA (253 nucleotides) under uncultured bacterium. RNAcentral describes it as "partial 16S ribosomal RNA". It matches the Rfam family "Bacterial small subunit ribosomal RNA", at positions 524 to 776 of the family's 1533-position model. The record is from RNAcentral.